This 465-nucleotide ribosomal RNA is filed under the name uncultured bacterium. RNAcentral's name for it is "partial 16S ribosomal RNA". It matches the Rfam family "Bacterial small subunit ribosomal RNA", at positions 28 to 507 of the family's 1533-position model. The record is from RNAcentral.
GAUGAACGCUGGCGGCGUGCUUAACACAUGCAAGUCGAACGAUGAAGCCCAGCUUGCUGGGUGGAUUAGUGGCGAACGGGUGAGUAACACGUGAGUAACCUGCCCUUAACUCUGGGAUAAGCCUGGGAAACUGGGUCUAAUACCGGAUAGGAGCGUCCACCGCAUGGUGGGUGUUGGAAAGAUUUAUCGGUUUUGAUGGACUCGCGGCCUAUCAGCUUGUUGGUGAGGUAAUGGCUCACCAAGGCGACGACGGGUAGCCGGCCUGAGAGGGUGACCGGCCACACUGGGACUGAGACACGGCCCAGACUCCUACGGGAGGCAGCAGUGGGGAAUAUUGCACAAUGGGCGAAAGCCUGAUGCAGCGACGCCGCGUGAGGGAUGACGGCCUUCGGGUUGUAAACCUCUUUCAGUAGGGAAGAAGCGUAAGUGACGGUACCUGCAGAAGAAGCACCGGCUAACUACGUG